UCCUGCACGCUCUGCACGCAGUGCGUGAACAGCAAAACCGCAAAAGAUGCAUCCUUGAGCAGACACACACCCGUACACGCGCGUGCAGACACAGGGGCAGACGCAAGGCACUGAUGCAUAGAUAUACCCUUUAGAUCCACAGCAACGAACUCGUAGUCAGCACAGAUGCACACAUGGCGCUAUCUUAUCACGUCGUGCUCUUUUUGUUUCUUUUCUUCUCCUUCGCAGACGUGGUGCUUAUCAGCGUCCGCACACUCGUCUCGCGGCGCUAUCACAGCCUCACCCUCUGCUACGCCCUGAUGGCGGUGCAGGAGUCCAUUCUUGUCUUUGAGCUCCUCGCGGUGCUGGGCCAGGUGCUCUCGACAUACCUCGUCACGGCCAGCAUGUGGGCACACACAGCAUCGCUGCUCGGCGCUUUUACACCGCUGUGGCUGCUGCGCACCUUCCUCACGGCCUUCACCGUGGUCUACAAGGACAUCCUGCUCCCGCGUUGGUCAUCGGCGGCGGCAUCCACUGGAGUUUGGGGACUUCUCUCUCACGCCUCUCGCGCGUGGCGCGCCACCGGCUAUGGCGCUGUCGUCUCCCUCGACGUCGCUUGCUUCUGCUUCUACUAUCUAUCCGCCGUGUAUGUGUUGGCCUACUUGUCGGAGAAGCGCCUCUACGUGCCCUAUCAUCGCCGGCGCUGGCGGCAUUUGCAGCGGAGGCGGGCACUCACGGCUACCGCCGCCACGGCCGUCGCGGACGAAGAGGACCGAGAAGUAGCGCGGCAAAAACGAUGGCGAGAGGAGCGACAAGGCGGAGCAAGGAGGACGGAUGGCGACGGUGGGGGUGAGGCGGUCGUCAGCUACCCGACCGUGAUGCCACUCACCCGCACCCCGUCUUUUCGGCAGUGGGAAGCGGUGCUGCAGCAGCAACAGCAAGAAACAGGUAACGGGAGAAGCGCCACAGCCGGCGACGGCCUUGCGCCGCUACGUGCAUGUGAGGGAAGAAGCCCGGGAGACAAGUCGUUUUCCAACACGACCGGGGCGGCUUGGACGAGCGCGAACGCAUUGCAGUCACCUUCCUAUCCUACAUCCGGAGUGCGCCGUCGGGAGGAGGCCAGUGACAACGGUACUGAGGCGAGCGGACUCAUCUCCAACACGGUCACGGCGGUCCCUGAUGGUUCCACGCAACCGCCCUCGGCAGCGCAUCUGAGCUCACCGGAGGCGGCCACCGCGGGGGCGACAGUGACAGAAACGGCGGCGGCUAAACCGCAGCGGGCUGUGCAGCAGCAUCACGGGAAGCCGGCCACACGGGCGCCUCGUGGCGCGGUCACCGCGACCGCCACCACCGGUGUUGGCUCGCCGAGGCAACCGCGACCAGUCUCCCUCGUCGCGAACUUGCCACCGCUUCAGCUGCAGCGCCGCUUCACUAUCAGCAAUAGCCCAGAGGAAGAGAGGCGCUUGCACCAGUUCGCCGCCGCCCUGGCCGAGCACGGCUACACGUCAGUGCCGUCGCAGACGCGCAACAUCACCCCGGAGCUGCCGUCAAGCAAGUCGCAUGUGAAGAUAAGCGACGGUGUUGCUGUGAAAAGCGGAACUCCGUCUAUCACAGAGGUACCGACGGCGCACGAGGGAGGUGAGGCUGACAAGGAGCGGGACGCCGGCAACCUCCUCUCCUAGACGGCGGCGGCGACGUCAGCACCGGAACUAGAAGCGGAACAGCGCUCCAGCUACAGCACUUCAUGUUGACUAUGAGCGCCACGCAGGACGCAAGUGCAUCCAGCUGAGCUGCGCCGCUCCGUAUUGUCCUCUCCGUGCUUGCGUGGCCCUAUGGGGCUGUUGGUGCGGGGUAGAGUUAGCGAUGGCGCACCCGUCGGGCCGCAUCGUGUGCGCCCCUCUCCACUCCCCCCCCACAAACCCUUCUUGAGCCUUCAAGUGUACGCAGAGGUGAAGACAAGUGCGUGAUCGAGGCACGUAGCGCAUAG
Molecule: unclassified non-coding RNA, 1966 nt
Filed under: Leishmania donovani
Lineage: Eukaryota; Euglenozoa; Kinetoplastea; Trypanosomatida; Trypanosomatidae
Description: gene:LdHU3.22.1510(CDS-product:hypothetical_prote in_conserved)
Source: RNAcentral